CGCGUAGGCGGUCUCUAAAGUCAGAUGUGAAAGCCCGGGGCUUAACCCCGGAAGUGCAUUUGAAACUCAGGGACUUGAGUAUGGGAGAGGGAAGUGGAAUUUCUGGUGUAGCGGUGAAAUGCGUAGAUAUCAGGAGGAACACCAGUGGCGAAGGCGACUUCCUGGACCAAUACUGACGCUGAGGCGCGAAGGCGUGGGGAGCAAACAGGAUUAGAUACCCUGGUAGUCC
This 229-nucleotide ribosomal RNA is filed under the name uncultured bacterium. Its description in RNAcentral is "partial 16S ribosomal RNA". It matches the Rfam family "Bacterial small subunit ribosomal RNA", at positions 568 to 796 of the family's 1533-position model. The record is from RNAcentral.